UGUCAGAAUCCUGUUAAAACGGAAAAUUGUCUGUGGAUGAGGAACCUCUUUUUCUAUACUUUGUUCUUCAUCUGUUAUGAAUCAAUGAUUACCCAUCAAAGAAAAGAACUAUUUCUAUAUAUAUUUGUUGCUGGGUCAUCAGUUGUUCUUCUGUGGUGGUUCUUCUGUAAUUGUUCUUCUGUUGCUGUUCUUCGGUGGUUGUUCUUCUGUUGCUGUUUUAUUGCCGUUACUGGGUCUCUAGUUUAUACAGACAUAUCUGGAGAAUAAGGACUAGAGCAGUGGUUUUCAACCACCGUUCCGCGGAACACUGGUGUUCCGCAAAAUAAUUAAGUAUUAAAUAUUCACGUAAUCAAAAUAUUUUAAUAAUAACAAUU
This 374-nucleotide long non-coding RNA is filed under the name Androctonus crassicauda. The record is from RNAcentral. Lineage: Eukaryota; Metazoa; Arthropoda; Arachnida; Scorpiones; Buthidae.